Molecule: non-coding RNA, 77 nt
Organism: Phyllosticta paracitricarpa
Lineage: Eukaryota; Fungi; Ascomycota; Dothideomycetes; Botryosphaeriales; Phyllostictaceae
Source: the annotation of a GenBank genome assembly
GCGGGAGUGGCCUAGUGGUUAAGGCGCUGCUUUCCCACGGCUGACCAAGUUCUAUAGUUCGAAUCUUGCCUUCCGCA